UUUGCAGUUGCAAUCAGCGUCUGAAAAAACAUAAUAGUUACAACUUUCAACAACGGAUCUCUUGGUUCUGGCAUCGAUGAAGAACGCAGCGAAAUGCGAUAAGUAGUGUGAAUUGCAGAAUUCAGUGAAUCAUCGAAUCUUUGAACGCACAUUGCGCCCCUUGGUAUUCCAUGGGGCAUGCCUGUUCGAGCGUCAUUUG
RNAcentral lists this ribosomal RNA (199 nucleotides) under Epicoccum cf. nigrum BXJT02. Its description in RNAcentral is "5.8S ribosomal RNA". The stretch from base 42 to 195 matches the Rfam family "5.8S ribosomal RNA". Rfam says of the family: 5.8S ribosomal RNA (5.8S rRNA) is a component of the large subunit of the eukaryotic ribosome. It is transcribed by RNA polymerase I as part of the 45S precursor that also contains 18S and 28S rRNA. Lineage: Eukaryota; Fungi; Ascomycota; Dothideomycetes; Pleosporales; Didymellaceae. The record is from RNAcentral.